GUGAGUCAUCGAAUCUUUGAACGCAUAUUGCGCCUUCCGGUAUUCCGGGAGGCAUGCCUGUUUGAGCGUCAGUACACUCUCAUCAAAGAGAAAUUGUCUUUUUGGAGACAGAUCUAUUUGAUGGUUAUGAGUCUCUUGAGGACUUGUCAUUGCGACACAGUCUUCUGACUUGAAAUGUAUUGUCCAAUGAAUUGACAAUCGAGAAUUUCGAUAGUGUGAUAGGUAUAUCCAACUCGCUUUGAAAGGCAUCGUGUCAAGUAUGGCAAAAUUGAGAGUACACUUGGCCUUUUUUGGGCAUGU
This 300-nucleotide unclassified non-coding RNA is filed under the name uncultured fungus. RNAcentral's name for it is "sequence contains 5.8S rRNA gene, ITS2". The stretch from base 1 to 71 matches the Rfam family "5.8S ribosomal RNA", at positions 84 to 154 of the family's 154-position model. Lineage: Eukaryota; Fungi. The record is from RNAcentral.